Molecule: long non-coding RNA, 823 nt
Filed under: Sus scrofa (pig)
Lineage: Eukaryota; Metazoa; Chordata; Mammalia; Artiodactyla; Suidae
Description: lncRNA (ENSSSCG00055006500.1)
Source: RNAcentral
GCCUCAGGCAGGAUCAGGGGUCACAGCCACACCUGCAGGACUGAGCAGGUGAAAACAAGUCAGGCUGUGAAAGAAAUCCCCCUUUUCUAAACUUUGCCUUGGAGUCCAUGACCUGAUGGGACAGGACUCAGACCUGGGGCAGGGAGGUCUGGGUUUUCCUCCAACCCUGUCACCUUUGUGAAGCUGAUUCUUUUCUGUGCCUCAGUGGCCUUGUCCGCAAUGCAGACUAAACCCCCUUUCACAGUCACCUUCCAGAACCCGAGUACACGUCACAAGCUCCCAGGCAUCCACAGGGGCACUGCACUUCACAGUUGAUGGAAAUGCUUCUCCUCCCUCAUCUCUGAGGAAAUGAAGGUCUGAUGGGAUUGAAAGCCAUCUACAGGUGGCCUUGCCACUUCUAAAUGAAAAAGGCGAAAAGUGGGAAGUUGCAUUCAGCGUGUGUUUUGCACGAAUGGUUGUAGAGGCAGCAAGAUGGGCCCGGCCAACUUCUUUCCUGGAACCACUCAGCAUCUCAGCAUCUCCACAUCUCAGCACCUCCGAAUCUCAGCAUCCAGCUCGAGCUGUGAACCACAUCUGUGGUGCAUCUGUGCUUUAUCUGGUUUAUUUCAUGGACCUAAGAGGAAACCGAAAGGUCACAGAUGGAGGGAGCACACCGUCCCGGGUGACACAGACACAUCCAGUGACCUGAAGUAACUUGGGCAAUGCAGUAACUCGGAAGCCAUUUCCACACCUGGAAACGAAAAUAAUCAUCCGCAGAGCUGUUCAGUCUGAUCACUGGUUCCAUGAGACUUAGACUGGAAAAGUCAACUGACCACACAAAAAG